AAGAUGACUGCCGGAGUGAGGAGGAAGAGAUGGAGGAAGGUGAAGGAGUUCCACCGGAGUACCCCUUUAAGGAAUCUUGCCAGCUGGAAAGUUUUGUUUUUCCACCCUGAAGGGUUAAUCUAACAAACCCAGCUUCUGCAUUUGGCUCAAAAAUUCCUCUGGUAUUCUGCUCACUCAUUCUAACAUCCACUGCUCAGGAAGGGGUGUGUCUGAGAAAAACACUGAGCCCGCCCUCACUCACCAUGCAUUCCCCCCUGAAUCUGCUGUGCUACCUCUCUUCAUCCAAUCACUGAAGGCUGUCCUGUAACCCAGUAAUGCUGCAGUCUGGAGUGCUAGUCCCACCCUCACUUCCUGGACUUUGUUCCAGUCUGUGCUUCAGCUGGGACAAAAAUGAAGCUGCAGCUGGACACGAUUAUGUUCUGGAUGGUAUUUAUGUUUUAUAAGCCAUAAUCUCUAUAAAGAGAAGAUACAUUGUUUUCAUUUAGUAUAUUAAAAAGAUAAAAUUUUUGCCAUAUGUACAACAUAUACUGUGAAAAAUGUACAAAAAUGUACUAUAAUACAACCGAGAAGAAAGCAAUGUUUUAGUAAAAUCCUUGUCUACUAUUAAAGGUGUC
Long non-coding RNA from Hyla sarda, 614 nucleotides. RefSeq lists it as uncharacterized. The record is from RefSeq and is a predicted model, not a curated record. Lineage: Eukaryota; Metazoa; Chordata; Amphibia; Anura; Hylidae. The transcript has 3 exons.